RNAcentral lists this ribosomal RNA (489 nucleotides) under uncultured bacterium. RNAcentral describes it as "partial 16S ribosomal RNA". It matches the Rfam family "Bacterial small subunit ribosomal RNA", at positions 28 to 507 of the family's 1533-position model. The record is from RNAcentral.
GAUGAACGCUAGCGGCAGGCUUAAUACAUGCAAGUCGAGGGGCAGCAGGACUGUAGCAAUACAGUUGCUGGCGACCGGCAAACGGGUGCGGAACACGUACGCAACCUACCCAAAACUGGGGGAUAGCCCGGGGAAACCCGGAUUAAUACCUCGUAACCUUUUUAAGUGGCAUCACUUGAUAAGUAUAGCUCCGGCGGUUUUGGAUGGGCGUGCGCCUGAUUGGGUAGUUGGUGCGGGUAACGGCCCACCAAGCCUGCCAUCAGUAACUGGUGUGAGAGCACGACCAGUCACACGGGCACUGAGACACGGGCCCGACUCCUACGGGAGGCAGCAGUAAGGAAUAUUGGCCAAUGGACGCAAGUCUGAACCAGCCAUGCCGCGUGAAGGAUGAAGGUCCUCUGGAUUGUAAACUUCUUUUAUGGGGGACGAAACCCGGAUAUUCUUAUCCGAUUGACGGUACCUCAGGAAUAAGCACCGGCUAACUCCGUG